Molecule: unclassified non-coding RNA, 241 nt
Filed under: Hevea brasiliensis (rubber tree)
Lineage: Eukaryota; Viridiplantae; Streptophyta; Magnoliopsida; Malpighiales; Euphorbiaceae
Source: RNAcentral
GGGGUUUGAGAUUGGUAGUUUGGUUGGAAGAUGAAGUUCUGCUGCGGAGUGUAGAGAAAAGAUGGUGGCGGAGCUCAGGUUGGGAGAGGGAUUCAGAGAGGAAUGCGGUGGUCUGAUGGAGAAUUUGGNNNNNNNNGACGUUAGUUGUCAUGGCGGCGGCGGUUGUUUUAGUGGAGCAGGAGGAGGAGGAGGAUUUGAGUUUGGGUUUAUGGGGUGGAGCUGUGGAGGAAAGAAGUGGAGC